RNAcentral lists this ribosomal RNA (323 nucleotides) under Nostoc sp. HG1. RNAcentral's name for it is "bacterial SSU rRNA". It matches the Rfam family "Bacterial small subunit ribosomal RNA", at positions 1222 to 1533 of the family's 1533-position model. The record is from RNAcentral. Lineage: Bacteria; Bacillati; Cyanobacteriota; Cyanophyceae; Nostocales; Nostocaceae.
GUGCUACAAUGGCGACUACAGUGGGUCGCAAACUCGCAAGGGGUGAGCUAAUCUCCAAAAGUCGUCUCAGUUCGGAUUGUUCUCUGCAACUCGAGAGCAUGAAGGCGGAAUCGCUAGUAAUCGCGGAUCAGCACGCCGCGGUGAAUACGUUCCCAGGCCUUGUACACACCGCCCGUCACACCAUGGGAGUUUGGUUUCACCCGAAGGCAGUGCGCUAACCCAGCAAUGGGAGGCAGCUGACCACGGUGGGAUCAGCGACUGGGGUGAAGUCGUAACAAGGUAGCCGUAGGGGAACCUGCGGCUGGAUCACCUCCUUUCUAAGG